RNAcentral lists this ribosomal RNA (738 nucleotides) under Salmonella enterica subsp. enterica serovar Dublin. RNAcentral describes it as "partial 23S ribosomal RNA". It matches the Rfam family "Bacterial large subunit ribosomal RNA", at positions 552 to 1190 of the family's 2925-position model. Lineage: Bacteria; Pseudomonadati; Pseudomonadota; Gammaproteobacteria; Enterobacterales; Enterobacteriaceae. The record is from RNAcentral.
GAAACCGUGUACGUACAAGCAGUGGGAGCCCCACCACUAAGCCAGUGGUGAACUCCACAUACGCAUCCUUUGCUGAGGAUACGGUUAACGGAGCGAAAGCGACGUUCAACCGCAAAAGAAGCAGAGGGGGCUUAGUGGUGGGGUGACUGCGUACCUUUUGUAUAAUGGGUCAGCGACUUAUAUUCUGUAGCAAGGUUAACCGAAUAGGGGAGCCGGAGGGAAACCGAGUCUUAACCGGGCGUUAAGUUGCAGGGUAUAGACCCGAAACCCGGUGAUCUAGCCAUGGGCAGGUUGAAGGUUGGGUAACACUAACUGGAGGACCGAACCGACUAAUGUUGAAAAAUUAGCGGAUGACCUGUGGCUGGGGGUGAAAGGCCAAUCAAACCGGGAGAUAGCUGGUUCUCCCCGAAAGCUAUUUAGGUAGCGCCUCGUGAAUUCAUCUCCGGGGGUAGAGCACUGUUUCGGCUAGGGGGCCAUCCCGGCUUACCAACCCGAUGCAAACUGCGAAUACCGGAGAAUGUUAUCACGGGAGACACACGGCGGGUGCUAACGUCCGUCGUGAAGAGGGAAACAACCCAGACCGCCAGCUAAGGUCCCAAAGUCAUGGUUAAGUGGGAAACGAUGUGGGAAGGCCCAGACAGCCAGGAUGUUGGCUUAGAAGCAGCCAUCAUUUAAAGAAAGCGUAAUAGCUCACUGGUCGAGUCGGCCUGCGCGGAAGAUGUAACGGGGCUAAACCAU